Molecule: non-coding RNA, 260 nt
Organism: Pelobates cultripes (western spadefoot toad)
Lineage: Eukaryota; Metazoa; Chordata; Amphibia; Anura; Pelobatidae
Source: the annotation of a GenBank genome assembly
GAGCAGUUUGUCUGCUCCACCCUUGUGAGUAUCUUUCUAUCUUAUUUUAUUAAUUUUAUUUAAUUCAGUGAGCACUACUGGUUGUUUUUCCUCUCUAUCUUGUUUGAGUGCAAUACCUAUCCGUGGAAGAAGAAUCCUGCACCAUAUCCUGCAAGCGGGGAUCAUACCACUACACGCCUUUUACACUAAGAGCUAGUCACAGCUCUACUACAUGUGAGUGCAAUACCUUUCUUCUUACCAUCUCCUGUACCACAUUGGAC